AGUGAACGCUGGCGGUAGGCCUAACACAUGCAAGUCGAACGGCAGCACAGUAAGAGCUUGCUCUUACGGGUGGCGAGUGGCGGACGGGUGAGGAAUACAUCGGAAUCUACUUUUUCGUGGGGGAUAACGUAGGGAAACUUACGCUAAUACCGCAUACGACCUACGGGUGAAAGCAGGGGAUCUUCGGACCUUGCGCGAUUGAAUGAGCCGAUGUCGGAUUAGCUAGUUGGCGGGGUAAAGGCCCACCAAGGCGACGAUCCGUAGCGGGUCUGAGAGGAUGAUCAGCCACACUGGAGCUGAGACACGGUCCAGACUCCUACGGGAGGCAGCAGUGGGGAAUAUUGGACAAUGGGCGCAAGCCUGAUCCAGCCAUACCGCGUGGGUGAAGAAGGCCUUCGGGUUGUAAAGCCCUUUUGUUGGGAAAGAAAAGCAGCAGGUUAAUACCCCGCUGUUCUGACGGUACCCAAAGAAUAAGCACCGGCUAACUUCGUG
This 492-nucleotide ribosomal RNA is filed under the name uncultured bacterium. RNAcentral's name for it is "partial 16S ribosomal RNA". It matches the Rfam family "Bacterial small subunit ribosomal RNA", at positions 29 to 507 of the family's 1533-position model. The record is from RNAcentral.